GCCGAAGUGGCGGAACUGGCAGACGCGCCGGACUCAAAAUCCGGUGCCCGAGAGGGCGUGUGGGUUCGAUUCCCACCUUCGGCA
RNAcentral lists this transfer RNA (84 nucleotides) under Actinomycetota bacterium. RNAcentral's name for it is "tRNA-Leu". It matches the Rfam family "tRNA". Rfam says of the family: Transfer RNA (tRNA) molecules are approximately 80 nucleotides in length. Their secondary structure includes four short double-helical elements and three loops (D, anti-codon, and T loops). Lineage: Bacteria; Bacillati; Actinomycetota. The record is from RNAcentral.